CUACGGGCUGCUCCAGUGGGGAAUAUUGCACAAUGGAGGAAACUCUGAUGCAGCAACGCCGCGUGGAGGAUGACACUUUUCGGAGCGUAAACUCCUUUUAUAUAGGAAGGAGAUGACGGUACUAUAUGAAUAAGCGCCGGCUAACUCCGUGCCAGCAGCCGCGGUAAUACGGAGGGCGCAAGCGUUACUCGGAAUCACUGGGCGUAAAGCGCGCGCAGGCGGGUUUGUAAGUUGGAUGUGAAAGCCUACGGCUCAACCGUAGAACUGCAUCCAAAACUACUUACCUAGAGUGUGGGAGGGGAAGAUGGAAUUAGUUGUGUAGGGGUAAAAUCCGUAGAGAUAACUAGGAAUAUCAAAAGCGAAGGCGAUCUUCUGGAACACUACUGACGCUGAGGCGCGAAAGCGUGGGGAGCAAACAGGAUUAGAUACCCCAGUAGUC
RNAcentral lists this ribosomal RNA (439 nucleotides) under uncultured bacterium. RNAcentral describes it as "partial 16S ribosomal RNA". It matches the Rfam family "Bacterial small subunit ribosomal RNA", at positions 339 to 795 of the family's 1533-position model. The record is from RNAcentral.